This 659-nucleotide long non-coding RNA is filed under the name Macaca mulatta (Rhesus monkey). RNAcentral describes it as "lncRNA (ENSMMUG00000057576.1)". The record is from RNAcentral. Lineage: Eukaryota; Metazoa; Chordata; Mammalia; Primates; Cercopithecidae.
CCUCUUCAAAAAGAAGCCGCAGUGCCAUCUGAGCCCUGAGGAAUGACUGGAGCCCUAAAGGCAGUGCACACCCUGCUCCUGAGCCUGCUGCUCAUUUCCUCUAUAUGGCUCCAUUUGUAAGACAAUUGUUGCACUGAGGCUUGUGCAUGCCAGGCAAGGCCAAGCUGGCUCAAGAGCAACCAGCCACCUCUGCAAGGGUGUGCCAGGAGCCGUGGAAGCACCAACCUCACUCACUGCGCUCAUGUACAUCUUCUACCUAGAGUAGGCCCCAUGCCAUCUGCUUUUCCUCAGGCCUCUGCUCCAUCAGCCAUCAGGUGGCAGCCACUCAGUCUGUUGGAAUCUGGCCAUCCCUGCUUCCUUGAGUGGGUGAGGUUGGUACAUCAGUUCUACCCUAGAGGUAGGGCCCCAGUGCCAUCUGUUUUGCUCAGGCCUCUGCUCCAUCAGCCAUCAGGUGGCAGUCACUCGGUCUGUUGGAAUCUGGCCAUCCCUGCUUCCUUGAGUGGGUGAGGUUGGUGGCUGCUCCACCUGUUCCAGGGCACCCUUGCAGAGUGGCUGGUUGCUCUUUGAGCCAGCUUGGCCUUGCUGGCAUGCACAGACCGCAGGUACCAAGUGCGCUCUGAGUGAGCUUGUCCUGCCUGGGCCAAAUUCUAAGUCUGGCC